RNAcentral lists this long non-coding RNA (468 nucleotides) under Salmo salar (Atlantic salmon). Its description in RNAcentral is "lncRNA (ENSSSAG00000091025.1)". Lineage: Eukaryota; Metazoa; Chordata; Actinopteri; Salmoniformes; Salmonidae. The record is from RNAcentral.
CUUUGAACUUUUAUUCAUUAAAGAAGUGAUAACUCAACUUCUACUGUAGGAUGUAUCAGCAGCAGCUGUAAACAUACGUGGCCUAGGAAAGGACAGACAAUCUCCUGAGAAGACAGGGUACAACAUAUUCACACUACAACACAACAGCAAGAGAUUCUACAAAGGACAAGGGCGUUCUCUGCUGGGCAAACCAGUCUUCCAUCUUCGACUCAUCUAUCGAAGCGCAGCUCAGUCGGGUCAGACACUGGGCACCAACUACACCAGGAAUUAUCUUCAGGUAUUCAACCUGAACAUCCGUCGUCAACCCUGAGAUGACUCCUUCGACAGAUGAUCUACUCCGAAGUUCAAAUCACAAAACUUCUGUUGUCUGGAUUCUUUUGGGGCCCACUGCAAUCUUCCUCUGCUCUUCAGAAUUACAAUGAGUCAAAAUAUGACCACUCCUGGUCACUCUGACAGACUUCACUUUUC